Oryctolagus cuniculus (rabbit) is the source of this 11547-nucleotide non-coding RNA. NCBI's taxonomy places the organism in Eukaryota, Metazoa, Chordata, Mammalia, Lagomorpha, Leporidae. The record is from RefSeq and is a predicted model, not a curated record.
UUUGUCUGCAGAGUGAACUCCUGGGAGACAGCUCCACCGCCAGGAGGCUCCCAAGCGAAGUCGACCUCUGCAGCUCUCCACCUUCACUCACCGGGGACGCUGGGCGCCUAGGAAGCUGACAACAGCGACAUGGUUAGCUACUGAUUGCAGAACCAAAUGGUGUUCUCUGACAAAAUUCUGGUGCACUGCUAUGGAGGCAUGGCCCACCUGGUCUUCAGAGGCAAGGUGACGUCCACAGUGCAUCAGCACGCGGGGACUUGACAUCACAAUCUUCUCCGAGUUUUGUCUGCAGAGUGAACUCCUGGGAGACAGCUCUGCCACCAGGAGGCUCCCAAGCAAGUCGACCUCUGCAGCUCUCCACCUUCACUCACCGGGGACGCUGGGCACCUAGGAAGCUGACAACAGCGACAUGGUGAGUGUGUGGACCUAGUUGUACUGAGAGGGGAAAACGGAGCCGAAGGCCAGGAGGACACAGGCCUCCAGCAUCUGUGGGCUCCAUAUUGGCGCUGGCACAGGGCUUCCCCUCGGUCCCCUCAGACCCGUGGGUUGGGGGCUUUACCGGCACCCAGGACCCCCGAGGUCCUGCCCCUUCCCUGCUUGGGUGAGACUUCUCAGCCCAGAGACAUAGCAGGCCAGCUAUGUGGCAGUAGCUGCACGUCUCCCCCGAUUGUGCAGUGGGGACUGGGUGGUCUCUAGGGAGAAUGUGGGCUCUGUGUAUGUGGUUCAUGCGGGACAGGUGCUGUCGGUUCCUCCUUCCCUCCCCACAGGCACCUGGUUCCCCCGAGUUUUCUCAAUAUGUGGCCUGCAGGGUACUUUCCAGGGCAUUGACCUCUUUACACAGCUGUUUCUAGGAUGUCUCACUCCUUCAUAUGUUUCCAAUAUCACAGUAACAUAGACUGAGUAAGGUAGAAACAGAAGUUUUAUUUGGCUUGGGGUUUUCACCCAGGUUUUAGAGAAGCAGAAAGACCCUGUAAUUUGGUACUUGGGCAACGUCUUAGCACUUACACUUUCUCUGUACAGGGUGCCAUCUCUAUUUGCACUUUCGAAAUAGAAUUUUGACCACUCAAAUUUAUGUGUGUUUUAAAAAUGAUUUUUCUUGCAUGAAAGUCUUCCAAAUCCUGUAGAUAUGUCUAGUUUACUAAGUUAUUUUGGAUUUACAUUUUAAUAUAGGAGCCUGUUUAGUUUUGCUUGUUUUAAUUUUUUCAAGAUUGUCAGAGUAUGACUGACACAAUUUGUGUAUCAUCAAGGUAUGAAAACUGAUGUUUUGCUAUGUGAGGGACAUUAAAAAGUUAUGGACAAUUCACAUUAUCGUUUGAUUACAUUUUUUCAUAAACUUUCUGGAAUCCUCUUGUACAUAUACAUUGUGAAAUGAUUAAGACAAUCUAAUAUAUCCAUCACAUUACAUCCCUAUGUUAUUAAAGAAUAUGGAAGAUAUUAGCAAGUUGUGAGUAUGUGAUAUCAUAAUCAACUAUUUACUGUGUUGAAUAUUAAGGUCUUGAGGUGUUAAUUUUGUUAAUUUAUCUCAUAGCUGCAAAUGUGUGUUCAGCUAACAUUUUCCCAUGUCCUUCACUCUCAGCCCAUGACAACCACCAUUCUAUUCUGUGAUUAAGUGUGACUUUCUUAGAUUACACAUAUGAGUGAUAUUGUGUGGCAUUUAUCUUUCUGUGCCUUAUUUCAAAUAGCCUAAUGUCCACAUUCAUAUUUUUGGAUCCACAUCCUGACAAAAUGGAAGAAUUUCCUUAUUAAGGUUGUCUGUGAUUCCUGUGUAUGUGUGUUUAUCACAUUUUCUUUAUUCAUAUGUUGACAGUGGGGUUGUCUCCAUAUCUUGUUCUUGUAGAUAAUGCUGCCAGUAAUAUGGAGAUAAAGGUAUCUAUUUGAGAUACUGAUUUGGUUUCCUUUGGAUAUACACGCAGUUGUGAGAUUGCUUUGUCAUAUGUUCUAUGUUUAAUUUUGAUUGAAGACCUACAUAAUGUUUUCUAUAUUGGAUGUACCAAUUUACUUUCUCAGCAACAAUUUUUAUAUUCCUUUUUUCCACCCUGGGACAAUGUUAUCUUUUUACUUUUGGAUAAUUGUUUUAACAUAUAUGAGAUGAUAAUCACUGUGGUCUUAAUUAGCAUUGUAGUCUUCAUUAGCUGUUUCUGAACCCCUUUUAAGUUACCUGUUGGCUACUUGUAUAUAUUCAAUGGAAAACUGAUCAAUCCUUUGUGCAAUUUUUAUUACAAUAUUUGUUUUUGAGUUGUUUGUGUUCAAACUCAGGUUGUCCAAUGUUUUCUUCAUUUCUUGCUUUAUCUGUUCUGUUUUUCCUAUCACAUGCAGAAUAUUUCUUAGAUUUUUUUCAGUCUUUGCUUUUGUCACCUCUGCGUGUAGUGUCAUAUCUAAACAAUCAUUGUUGAGACUAAUAUCAAUGAAUUUGCUUCCAUUUGUAAGGGGUUUUAUAUUCUCAGACCUUUUAUGUAAGCCUUCAAUUCAUUUUGAUUUGACUUUCAUGCCUGGGUAAUAUAAAGAUAUUAUAUUUCAGUUUUUGGCAUGUAGAUGAACAAUUUUCCUCUGCUUCAGAUGUGGUCACUAAACACUAAGUGGCAGGAUCCAGGCAGAAACUGUCACAGUGCAGUUUUUCCCUAAUCUGCCUUGUCUCCCAGACCCACUCUUCUGUGUUCUGCUGCUCUUCCCUGUCUGCAUGAAUAGACCUCAGAAGUGAGCGUGCACAGAGAGAGACACAUGAAGCAGUGUGCAAUGUUGGGGAGAAGCAGAAACUAUGUAGUAAAUGGGCAGGGCCCAGAAGGCUCUGUCUCCUUUCUCUGAAAGCCUUGGAUAUACAGAGGCACUUCAAAAAUUCACUGAGGGAUUGACAUUUGGCAUGUGUUACAACCCUGCUUAGUAUGUCCACAUCCUAUAUUGGCAUGCCUAGGUUACAGUCACAACUCUCAAUUCCAGCUUUAUGCUAAUAUGCACUUUUGGAGGGAGUGAUGGCUGAAGUAUGUGGGUCCCUGUAACCCAUAUGAGAGACUCAUAUCAUCUGGGAAGCAGAGCUGAUGGGGUCCUCCAUGCAGAGUGGAUGAACAUGAGGUGUUCCUUUGCUGCAAUGUGUGUUGGUGAUCUGGAAAAUAACACUCCAUUAUGAACUUUCUUAUGUCAAACAAUGAUGCACAACUGAGAAAAGGAGGCUACUGAGGUAUUCAGGCAUUUUUUCAAUUAGCCUAUGCUGCUGCCAUCCACACAGGGAAGGGGCCCAACUGGAAUAGUCCCAGUCUGACCACAUGGAUGCAGGAGGUUUAUUUAAAUUUUGAAAAUUAAUUUUAUUCACAUUAAAGGCACAGCGAUCUCUCAUCCACUGUUCUCUCCAUAUAGUCACAAUAGCUGGAAUUCAGCCAGGUUGUGAUGUGAAAACAUCAGGUUUUAUGAAGUGAAAAUCCCAGAACUCGGUGUGGGUGGCACAGACCCAAGUACCUGAGCUAUUAUAUGCUGCCUCCUAGGGUGCACUUUAGUAGGAAGCUGGAUUGGAAGUGGAGUGGGACUCAAACCUACACACUCUAAUAUAGGAUGUGGGUCUCGAAAGAGCCAUCUUACAUGCUGUUCCCCAAUGCUCACCCCUCUGUUAUUUUAAGAGGAGCCCUACAACAGUCCAAACCAACUCUCCUGGCCCUGAUGGUCAUAGCCCCUGAAUUUAAGCUGUGCAGACCCUCAACACUCUAGAAAAACCCAAGUACAUCCACGCAAUGGAGUGUUCACAGCAGCACAUUCCUGCUGUGCUUGUCACUCGGAACUAUGAAGCUAAACGUGUGCCAUCAGGUGCUGUUCUGCCUGACACCUCUUCAUCCACUUUCCACAAGCUGAUACCACAUCUGGCCAUCCACAUCAAAGUGGUCACUAUUAGAUGCUGUGUUGAAGGGGGAUCCCAAGUUGUCUCAUUUCAGAUAAACUUCAUGUGUUGCUUCAGACACUCCUCGGCACUGAUGUGGCUCUUCCCCCCAGAUAGUCUCCAUAGUAGGUCCCUUGGCACAGUAGUUCAUGCACCCCACAGGCACCUCUGUGGGUGACAGUCAUCUGUUUACUGGGCUCAUAGCCUAGAUAAUUGUGUCUUCUUGGACACUGAAUCAGGUAUUACUUCAUCAGUGUGGUUUUCCAGCCUGCUGGGUCAUUGGCGAAAAGGAGGACAAGUCCUUAGUAUACCUGCAUGGUCAACAUAUUAAGGCGGGACUCUUCCUUUUACCAUGAACCCUGGUAUUGUUUCUCCCCACUUCUCAUUUACGGUUUCUCAUCCUUGGUUGGCAUGGACAGUCUGGAAUAUCUUCUCCACCAAGCCUAAUGCUUUGUACAGAUGGGGUAUGCUGACAAAGGGCCUGUGCAUUUCCUCAAUUAACUCUGCAGCAUCAACACUCAAGCAAGGCCAUAGUAGAAUUUGCCUCAGUUAAUCACCACAUAAUGGAAAUAUGUGUUUUGAAAUUUGCAUUUGUAACUUAUUGCAGGUGGAAGCUUAACAUUCUGCCUCACAAUCAUAAUUCCAACCAGCCUAUUUUUACAGGUUAAAAAAAGAAAUCAUUUUCAGACUGCAUUGAUUUGCAAGAAUAUGAUAAAAUAAUUCAAGUGACAUUAGGGUUAGAUGUUUAAUAUGUUGGUAAAUUUGCCUAGAGAGAGUGCCUGCCUUCUAAUUUUGUAUUAGGAAGGAAGGCCAGUUAGGGGGUGACAACCAUAGCAUUAUGUAAUGAGUAGUAGACAACUUUUCUGUUUGGUUUAACCCUUUGAACAGCCUAACAUGGAAUAGAAACUGCUCAAAUGUUUGUUGAGUGAGUAGAAAUAUCCAAGGAACCUGGAAGAUAUGAGAAAAACCCAAAAACCUAUAUUUUUUCAGUGAUUUACUGAAUACCCAGCUUUGGCUUCAUGCUGUGGGAGCCAGUGCUGUGUCUAGGAAUACUGAUAGCAGCAGCAAUUUAUUGUGCUUCUUGUGAGCCAAGCAUUCUGCACACAUUUGUUUUUCAUUCUCUCUGUUACUCUGUGAGUUGAACAUUGUGGGUUUUUUUUAUCCAUAAGGAAACUGAGGCCAAAAGAGGCCAAGUAGCUGGACAACAAACAGUAAGGUGUUCCCUUAACUCCUGUAUUCUAAGGCCUGCUUGGCUCAUAAAGCACCCUUUCUUGUGGGAAGUAAACAUAAUUGGGACAAUUACAAAUUAGCAUGCUAGGGAAUAAUUGUAUAGUAUGCCUCUCUUUCUACAUAUUUGUGUGCUACCAGCAUUUCAUCAAGUGUGGGGUUUUGUCAUGAUUAAGUCUGUAUGCUUUGGAGUUAGAUGCAUGGAUUGGAAUCAUUCCUGUGUGUGUAAAACUGGACAUGUAGCCAUGCAUUUAAACAUUUAUUACAACUUCAUAUAAAGUGUGGAUGAUAAAGGCACCUGCCUCCUUGUUGUGAGGGAUGUGUAACUUGUGUAAAAUAAUUCAGUGUGUGGUAGGCAUUGCAUCUCAGCAGGUUAAGCUACAGCUUGGAAUGCUCACAUCUCAUAUUGGAGUGCUGCAUUGAAUGCUAGCAACCACCAUUCAGCUAGCUAUUGAUGUACUUGGGAAAGCGGUAGAGGAUGGUGCAAGGGCUUGUGUCCUGCCACACCUCUGGGAGGCUUGGAUGGAGUUCCUGGCUCUUGACUUUGGACUGAUUCAGUCUUAAAGAUGGGCACUCGAUGAUUGAUCCAGUGGUUGGAUGCUUUCUCCCUCUAUUCUCCCUCAUCACACUCUUCCCUAUCUCUCUUUACCGCCUUCUUUAUCUUUUACUUUGCCAUUUAAAUAAAUAAAAACAAAAUGAUUCUGUGUCUGACAAACUGGUUCUCAUACAAUUCAGUGUCUGACAAACUGUGGUUCUCAUACAAUGUAAGGUUUACAAAUCCACUGAUUUGUAUCAGUUUUAUUCAUCUAUCCCACAUAUCUCAAAUGAUGAUUUAAAAUAGGUAAACAGUAAGUGUUUAAUGAAUAAUAUAUUUUAAUAUGUAAAUAUCUAGGUCCAAUUACAUUAGAAAGAUCCUCAUUCUAUUUUCACAUGUAAAGCAAGAUUGGGAUGGACUGAAUAUGUGGCAACAUAAACCCAGAGGCAGAUGGGAACCAGAAGGAAUGGAGAAACUUUUGCAAAAUGAAUUAUUGGAAAGUUUGCUGGCUAAAUAGCUCAUUUACAUAUUUUCUUACUAGUUUUAGAAUGAAUAUACUCUCUAUGUUUUUCUUGGUAAUCACAAUAUAAUGUGACACACGUGUUGUGGCAAUAGGACUCUAUUCUAAUGUUGAUCCUACAAAGCUGUUUUACUGUUUCUUAGAAUUAACACUGCAUUCCACCUCAAUUUUCAUUAGAGAGCUGCUAUGGAAAAUUUCUAUACCUCUCAAGAAAGAGUAAUACUGACAUGUAAGGCCAGGUGCAUCACUCAAAUCAUCCCAAUUAGAUUUCUCAAUGCUUGAUAUAAUCAGAAAACUGUGUUUUCUUAGCUUCUUGGUAAAGUUCAUUCAUAAACUCAGAAAGAAUUUAUUGAAAAUAUGUGUGUCUGUCCAUGCCUGUAGUGUAACAAGUGUAGUCUAUGAAUUCAGUCCUGUACUUUAGGAGUUUAUAGGAUUAUUGAAUGAAGCAAGGAGCAUAAUAGAUUUCUAUUUAAAAUGUAUGAUGGCUUUUGCACUUAAAAUAUGUUCUAGGUUUUUCAUGUCAGUUAAUUGACAUUAACUGUUAUUUUGUAUCCUUGGAACUGCAUUAUGGAAUAUUUUCCUUUCAUAUUUCAAAGUAAACACCACAAUUCUCAAAGAUGGUUUUGUGAUUCUGGUCAUUGCUUACAACAUGUUGCUGUGAAAAUAAUAGAAUGGUUGCAAUCUCAUGGUUUUAUUGAAUGUGGGUUUGGGAGAUUCCAAAAUGGAGGAAAGAAUAAAUUGAAUUUCUACUGAUUUUUCUCUUCAUUGGAGCACUGCACAGCAUAAAACCAUUGCCCCUCCAAGCCUUCUUCAACCACACACCUCAUUCUACCAAAGUCUUUUUUUUUACAUAUUCUAUAAUUCCAUUUGUAUAGAAAAGGCAAAUAUAUAUGGAGAGAUAGCAGUUUAUGACUUACAUGGGUCUGCUGGGUAAAAUUGGUAAAAUUAGAGAAAGACUUCAAAAAAGCUUGUAAGAACUUUUGGAGUGAUGGGACUUUCCUAAAGCUGGAUUGUGGCAAUGGUUACCCACCUGUAUACAUGUACCAAAAGUCAUUGAACAGUAUUGUUAGAAUGUAUGAUUAGUUGAUGUAUAUGAUAUACACAAACUUUAAUUUCAAUCUAAAAAUUAAAACAAAUGAAUGCACAGUCUUUUUACCUUUAACAGAAGAAAGAAUAAUCAAUGUUUUAAUUCUAUCUAGACAAGUAAUAUAAAAUAUCAAAUCAUAUUAUAUAAUAUAUAUAAAUAAUAUCUGACAAUAAUACUAACACUACUACUAGAUAUGUGCUGUCUAUAUGUUAAUUUGCUUGAUCCAACCUGCCUAUGAAGUACAAUAAUCAUCUUCAUUUUACAGAAGAAGGACAGUUAUCAUGGUUUUAUAUUUUGCCUAAGGUAACACAAAUUGUAGUUGGUAGAGGUACAAUUUAAUUUUUUUGACAGGCAGUGUUAGACAGUGAGAGAGAGAGACAGAGAGAAAGGUCUUCCUUCCAUUGGUUCACUCUCCAAAUGGCCACUAUGGCCGGUGCUGUGCCGAUCCAAAGCCAGGAGCUGGGUGCUUCUUCCUGGUCUCCCAUGCAGGUGCAGGGACCCAAGCACUUGGGCCAUCCUCCAGUGCCCUCCAAGGCCACAGCAGAGAGCUGGACUGGAAGAGGAGCAACUGGGGCUAGUAGCUGGCACCCCAACUGGUACUAGAACCUGGGAUGCCAGCACUGCAGGCAGAGGAUUAGCCAAUUGAGCCACGGUGUCAGCCGGUAGAGGUAGAAUUUGAAUCCUUUUUUUUUUUUUUUGCCUGUAGAUUUCUAAGCAUGAAACGCCAAUUUAUUGUGUUUUUUUUUAACUUUUAUUUAAUGAAUAUAAAUUUCCAAAGUACAGAAUAUUGAUUACAAUGACUUCCCCCCCAUAACGUCCCUCCAACCCGCAACCCUCCCCUUAUCCACUCCCUCUCCCCUUCCAUUCAUGUCAAGAUUCAUUUUCGAUUCUCUUUAUAUACAGAAGAUCAGUUUAGCAUACAUUCAGUAAAGAUUUCAACAGUUUGCUCCCACACAGAAACAUAAAGUGAAAAAUACUGUUUGAGUACUAGUUAGAGCAUUAAAUCUCAAUGUACAGCACACUAAGGACAAAGAUCCUACAUGAGGAGUAAGUGCACAAUGACUCCUGUUGUUGACUUAACAAAUUGACACUCUUGUUUAUGGCAUCAGUAAUCACCCUAGGCUCUUGUCACGAGCUGCCAAGGCUAUGGAAGCCCCCUGGGUUCACUGACUCUCAUCAUUUUUAAACAAGGCCAUGGUCAAAGUGGAAGUUCUCUCCUCCCUUCAGAGAAAGGUACCUCCUUCUUUGAUGACCCAUUCUUUCCACUAGGAUCUUACUCGUGGAUAUCUUUCAUUUAGGUUUUUUUUCCCCCAGAGUGUCUUGGCUUUCCAUGCCUGAAAUACUCUCAUGGGCAUUUCAGCCGGAUCCGCAUGCCUUAAGGGCUGAUUCUGAGGCCAGAGUGUUGUUUAGGACAUUUGCCAUUCUAUGGGUCUGCUGUGUAUCUCACUUCCCAUGUUGGACCAUUCUCUCCCUUUUUUAUUCUAUCAGCUAGUAUUUGCAGACACUAUUCUUGUUUAUGUGAUCCCUUUGGUUCUUAGUCCUAUCAUUAUGAUCAAUUGUGAACAGAACUUGAUCACUGGGACUAGUGAGAUGGCAUUGGUACGUGCCACCUCGAUGGGAUUGAAUUCGAAUCCCCUGGUAUGUUUCUAACUCUACCGUUUGAGGUAAGUCAGCUUGAGCAUGUCCCGAAUUGCACAUCUCUUCCCUCUCUUAUUCCCACUCUUAUAUUUAACAGCGAUCACUUUUCAGUUAAGUUUCAGCACUUAAGAAGAAUUGUGUAUUGAUUACAGUAUUCAACCAAAAGUAUUAAGUAGAACAAACAAAAAAAAAUACUAAGAGGGAUAACAUAUCAAGUUGCUCAUCAACAGUCAGGGUGAGGGCUGAUCAAGUCACCAUUUCUCCUAGUGUUCAUUUCACUUUAACAGGUUUCCUUUUUGGUGCUCAGUUAUUUGUCACUUAUCAAGGAGAACAAGUGGUAUUUGUCCCUUUGGGAUUGGCUUAUUACACUCAGCAUAAUGUUUUCCAAAUUCCUAACAGGGACCACUUUUCAGUUGAAAUUUAAACACCUAAAAUAAUUGUGUGUUAAUUACAGAGUUCAACCAAUGGUACUAGAACAAAAAAAAUACUAAAAUGGAUAAAGUAUUACAUUGUACAUCAACAGUCAGGACAAGAGCUGAUCAAGUCACUGUUUCUCAUAGUGUCCAUUUCAUUUCAACAAGUUUCCCCCUUGGUGCUCAGUUAGUAGUCGCCGAUCAGGGAGAACAUAUGAUAUUUGUCCCUUUGGGACUGGCUCAAUUCACUCAGCAUGAUGUUUUCCAAAUUCAUUUAACAUUUUAUUUCAACAUUACUUUUUUUGACAAAGCAAGGGUAUUUGUGACAUCAAAUUUUAUUAUGACACAAUGUGUGAUGAUUUAACAAAAAAUUUUAUGAAAGAAAAAUGGUAGCUUUAUUACAUCAAAAUUGAUUAUGACAAAACAAUGUUAUGACAAUGACAUAUUAAGGGUAUGUUUCUGAUAUCAGAAUGUAUGAUACUAUAUUAUUAUGGCAAUAUAAAGGGGUUUAUUGUGGGGAGCAAUCCGGACUAGACUAAGUUACUCGAAUUAAGACUUAUUCUAUGCAUCUGCUCUCCCACAAUGUGGCGUUGGGAGAGAAGUAAACAGCUUCUACACAGGUGCCUCCAGUUCAGCCAAUAAACUGUAGGACUUGCUCCUGAUUGGAGGAGAGCAGCGUACUCGGCGUGUGGGCAGCCGAGUUGGGAUUGGCGGAGGAGGACUAUAAAGGAGGAGAGAGACGGCAUGCACCAGGAACAUCUAUGGGGAACAUCUAAGGGAACCCGUGCAGCCCCCGAGAAAGCCGGCCGGCGGUGUGCCGCUCCCCUGCGGAAGUGGGGAAUGUGGCCAGGGGGAACUGCCCUUCCACGGAGGUGGAAGGGAUAGUAGCCAACCCGGGAAGAACCAGCAGCAAACCCGGGGAGGGCCGAGCAGACAGAAAGAACAGCGCAGGGUCCUGUGUUGCUCCUCCACGAAGAGGGGGAGUGACAGUUUAUUACAUUCAAAUUGAUUAUAUGGUAUAAUGUUUAUGACAUCACAACUAAUUAUGGCAUCAGAAACAUUUUUAAUAUCAGAAUUGAUUAUGAUAGAAUGUUAGGUUGAUAUCAGAAUGGUAGAUAAUAACAUAAAAAUUGAUAACAGUUUCACAAUGUGUCUUAUGACAAUAUCAUGAUGACACCAAAGUUUAUGAAAGAACAAUGGUAGGUUUAUGAUAUCACAAUUUGUUACAAUAGCACAUUGGUAUGUUUAUACUAUCAGAACUAUAAUUGAUCAUGUAUCAACUGGUUAUGACAACAUAAUGUUUUUUGAUAAUACAAUGGCAGUUUAUGAUUUCAAAAUUCAUUAUGAUGUCAUAAAAUUUGGAUUAUGACAUCACAAAUUAUUAGGACUUCACAAUGGUAGGUUUAUAAUAUCAGAAUGAAUGUUUAUCAGAAGUCAAUCAAUUAUAACAUCAAAAUUAACUAUGAUUUCACAAUGUGGAUUAUUGAAUCACAAUCAUUUAGGACACCAAAAUGGUAAGUUUAUAAUAUCAAAAUUUAUUAUGACAUCACAACCAUAUCAAAAUUGGUGUCAUAUCACAGUAGUAAAUUUAUGAAUUCAUUAAUUAUGACAUCACAAUAUAUGAGAUAUGACAACAGAUUUGUUGACAUCACAAUCACAAAUGCAAAAUUAUGGUAUCAGAAUGACAGCUUAUCACAAACCAAUAGAUUAUAUCAUGAUGUUUUAUGACAAUAAAGGUGGUACAUGACAUCAAUAUUGGUAUGAAGGCAGAAAAGAUUAUAUCAUUUUGAUGAUGAUAUCACAAAUGUAGGUUUAUGAUAUCAGAAUGGUUUUUUACUCAGACCAUUUGAUUAUACUACAAUGUUAUUAUGACAAUAUAAUGUUGAUCUAUGACAUCACAAUUUCUUAUGAUGGCAUAUUGUUUUCAUUAUGAUAACACAAUUGAUUAUGAUAUCAAUGACAGGAUCAUAACAGAAAUGAGGUUUAACAUAACAAACAUAAUCUUCCAAUGUGUUAAAUGAAAAUACAACAGCGGUUUAUGACAUCAAAAUUGGUAGAUGUAGCAAGAUGAUUGGUUUAUAACAUCACAAUUUUUAUGAUGGCACAAUGGUAGGUUAAUGGCAUAGUAAUUGACAUCACAAUGGUAUUUUAUAUCAGAAUCAUGGUUUACCACAUAGCAAUUGAUUAUAACAUCAAAAUUUCUUAUGAUAACAAUUGUGAUUAACAGCAUCAAAAUUAAUUCUGAUGUCAUAAUGCUCUGGCUGAUUG